Molecule: ribosomal RNA, 405 nt
Filed under: uncultured bacterium
Lineage: Bacteria
Description: bacterial SSU rRNA
Rfam family: Bacterial small subunit ribosomal RNA
Source: RNAcentral
GAAUAUUGGACAAUGGGCGAAAGCCUGAUCCAGCAACGCCGCGUGAGGGAUGACGGCCUUCGGGUUGUAAACCUCUUUCAGCAGGGACGAAGCGAAAGUGACGGUACCUGCAGAAGAAGGACCGGCCAACUACGUGCCAGCAUCCGCGGUAAUACGUAGGGUCCGAGCGUUGUCCGGAAUUAUUGGGCGUAAAGGGCUCGUAGGCGGUUUGUCGCGUCGGGAGUGAAAACUCAGGGCUCAACCCUGAGCGUGCGUACGAUACGGGCAAACUAGAGGUAUGCAGGGGAGAACGGAAUUCCUGGUGUAGCGGUGGAAUGCGCAGAUAUCAGGAGGAACACCGGUGGCGAAGGCGGUUCUCUGGGCAUUACCUGACGCUGAGGAGCGAAAGCAUGGGGAGCGAACAGG